This 368-nucleotide unclassified non-coding RNA is filed under the name Hevea brasiliensis (rubber tree). Lineage: Eukaryota; Viridiplantae; Streptophyta; Magnoliopsida; Malpighiales; Euphorbiaceae. The record is from RNAcentral.
GGAUAAAUCAGGAGAUUGAGAGGUAUGACUGCCUCUAAUAUUGAAUUUUUGUUUCCAAUCAGUAAAAAUUAUUACAGAUUACAUUAUCUGACAUGAAGGCAUGGGGCUCCAGCCCACAAUAUGGCUACAUGUUUACAACAGCAUAUGUUAUGUCUUCAUAUUAUCUGAAAUAUUUGUAUAUUUUAUUGGUUUGCUGUACUAUGUGAUUACUGACCCAGGUGCAUGUAACUCGAUCUAAAUCUGAGAAAUUGAAUGAUGAAUGUUUAUUUUUGGAACACACACCUGUAAAUACUUUGUUUUUGAUGGAUCACUUCAUUUUCUCUCCUAUAAAUUUUGUUUCCAACCAGUAAAAAUUAUUACAGAUUACU